GGUUAAGCGACUAAGCGUACACGGUGGAUGCCCUGGUAGUCAGAGGCGAUGAAGGACGUGCUAAUCUGCGAUAAGCGUCGGUAAGGUGAUAUGAACCGUUAUAACCGGCGAUUUCCGAAUGGGGAAACCCAGUGUGUUUCGACACACUAUCAUUAACUGAAUCCAUAGGUUAAUGAGGCGAACCGGGGGAACUGAAACAUCUAAGUACCCC
This 211-nucleotide ribosomal RNA is filed under the name Escherichia coli. RNAcentral's name for it is "partial 23S ribosomal RNA". It matches the Rfam family "Bacterial large subunit ribosomal RNA", at positions 1 to 212 of the family's 2925-position model. Lineage: Bacteria; Pseudomonadati; Pseudomonadota; Gammaproteobacteria; Enterobacterales; Enterobacteriaceae. The record is from RNAcentral.